UGAGGUGCAGUGAGGUGUGGGGUGCCCUGGGGCUGGGGGUGCUGAGGCACGAGAGGGAGUAUGGGGACUGGGAGGCGGGCAGGGGCCAGGCCGCGGGGGUGGCGUGAAGCAGCUUCUCCCUGAGCCUCGUGUGUCGCAGGAUCUGUGCUGGGGGUCACCUCCGGAGGAGCCGCAGCCCUGAGUCGUGACCAGAGGUCGCUGAGUCUGCGUGGGACGUCCGCGGCCCUCAGGUGUUCCUGCUCGCCACGGAGACUGCUGAGUCUGCGCCCUGUCCCAGGCCGAGGUGGCUGAACUGAAGGUCUCUGCGUGAUGGUGAGAGUGUUGCCCUUGCGGUUCCCUUUGGUUAUAUCUGCGUGGUCUCUAGGUUAUAGGAGGUAAUUUUGUCUAAGUAGAUGGUAAACAUUAAUAAAAUCCAGUUCU
Molecule: long non-coding RNA, 420 nt
Organism: Cygnus olor (mute swan)
Lineage: Eukaryota; Metazoa; Chordata; Aves; Anseriformes; Anatidae
Exons: 3
Source: RefSeq, a predicted model, not a curated record